GAUGAACGCUAGCUACAGGCUUAACACAUGCAAGUCGAGGGGAAACGAUAGAGAAAGCUUGCUUUUUCUAGGCGUCGACCGGCGCACGGGUGAGUAACGCGUAUCCAACCUGCCCAUCACUUGGGGAUAACCCUUGCGAAAGUAAGACUAAUACCCAAUGACGUCUCUAGAAGACAUCUGAAAGAGAUUAAAGAUUUAUCGGUGAUGGAUGGGGAUGCGUCUGAUUAGCUUGUUGGCGGGGUAACGGCCCACCAAGGCGACGAUCAGUAGGGGGUUCUGAGAGGAAGGUCCCCCACAUUGGAACUGAGACACGGUCCAAACUCCUACGGGAGGCAGCAGUGAGGAAUAUUGGUCAAUGGACGAGAGUCUGAACCAGCCAAGUAGCGUGCAGGAUGACGGCCCCUAUGGGUUGUAAACUGCUUUUAUAAGGGAUAAAGUGAGUCUCGUGAGACUUUUUGCAUGUACCUUAUGAAUAAGGACCGGCUAAUUCCGUGCCAGCAGCC
Molecule: ribosomal RNA, 503 nt
Filed under: uncultured bacterium
Lineage: Bacteria
Description: bacterial SSU rRNA
Rfam family: Bacterial small subunit ribosomal RNA
Source: RNAcentral